GAUGAACGCUGGCGGCAUGCCUUACACAUGCAAGUCGAACGGUAACGCGGGGCAACCUGGCGACGAGUGGCGAACGGGUGAGUAAUAUAUCGGAACGUGCCCAGUGGUGGGGGAUAGCCCGGCGAAAGCCGGAUUAAUACCGCAUACGACCUACGGGUGAAAGCGGGGGAUCGCAAGACCUCGCGCCAUUGGAGCGGCCGAUAUCAGAUUAGGUAGUUGGUGGGGUAAAGGCCCACCAAGCCAACGAUCUGUAGCUGGUCUGAGAGGACGACCAGCCACACUGGGACUGAGACACGGCCCAGACUCCUACGGGAGGCAG
Molecule: ribosomal RNA, 319 nt
Filed under: uncultured Pseudomonadota bacterium
Lineage: Bacteria; Pseudomonadati; Pseudomonadota
Description: bacterial SSU rRNA
Rfam family: Bacterial small subunit ribosomal RNA
Source: RNAcentral